AAAUCGAUGCCAUAGGACCACAAAGAGCAAUCCGUCUUGUGAGCAGCAAGAGACCAGAGUGGCGUGCACACACAGAGGGAGGAACUGCUCAGCUCUUAGUACACAACGAUGAAACCGGCCCAAGGAGGCACACUUACCCAGGUCCUCACACCCAGUUAAGUGGUGGAGUCAGCAUUCAAAUCCACAGGAUUUCGAGCAAAGAUUCUUCCUUCAGACAAGGGGGCAAAAAGCAAAUGAAAAUGACCACUUUUACCUUCAGAAAUGGAGCCCACAGAUAUCAUGUUCACUACUGCACCACUGCUAAUUACGAGAAGCUAAAGGCCC
Mustela lutreola (European mink) is the source of this 324-nucleotide long non-coding RNA. RefSeq lists it as uncharacterized. The record is from RefSeq and is a predicted model, not a curated record. The transcript has 3 exons. Lineage: Eukaryota; Metazoa; Chordata; Mammalia; Carnivora; Mustelidae.